Molecule: transfer RNA, 72 nt
Filed under: Camelus dromedarius (Arabian camel)
Lineage: Eukaryota; Metazoa; Chordata; Mammalia; Artiodactyla; Camelidae
Also listed under: 1 other name
Rfam family: tRNA
About the family: Transfer RNA (tRNA) molecules are approximately 80 nucleotides in length. Their secondary structure includes four short double-helical elements and three loops (D, anti-codon, and T loops).
Source: Rfam by way of RNAcentral
GAGGGUGUAGCUCAGUGGGAGAGCGUGUGCUUAGCAUGCACGAGGUCCUGGGUUCAAUCCCCAGAGCCUCCA